AACCUACGGGAGGCAGCAGUUAAGAAUAUUCCGCAAUGGACGAAAGUCUGACGGAGCGACGCCGCGUGGAUGAAGAAUGCCGAAAGGUUGUAAAAUCCUUUUAAGCCUGAUGAAUAAGCACAGUAGGGAAUGAUUGUGCGGUGACCGUAGGGCUUGAAUAAGCACCGGCUAAUUACGUGCCAGCAGCCGCGGUAAUGGUU
RNAcentral lists this ribosomal RNA (200 nucleotides) under uncultured bacterium. RNAcentral's name for it is "partial 16S ribosomal RNA". It matches the Rfam family "Bacterial small subunit ribosomal RNA", at positions 335 to 528 of the family's 1533-position model. The record is from RNAcentral.